This 373-nucleotide ribosomal RNA is filed under the name uncultured bacterium. RNAcentral's name for it is "bacterial SSU rRNA". It matches the Rfam family "Bacterial small subunit ribosomal RNA", at positions 29 to 419 of the family's 1533-position model. The record is from RNAcentral.
AAUGAACGUUGGCGGCGUGGAUUAGGCAUGCAAGUCGAGCGCGAACCGUAGCAAUACGGGGAGAGCGGCGAAAGGGAGAGGAAUACGUGGAUACCUACCCUCAGGUUCAGGAUAGCUAUGGGAAACUAUAGGUAAUACUGAAUAAUAUCUCCGGAUCAAAGGUGUGAUUCCACCUGAGGAGGGUCCGCGUCCUAUUAGCUAGUUGGUGAGGUAACGGCUCACCAAGGCGAAGAUGGGUACGGGAUGUGAGAGCAUGAUCCCGCUCACUGGGACUGAGACACUGCCCAGACACCUACGGGUGGCUGCAGUCGAGAAUCUUCGGCAAUGGGGGAAACCCUGACCGAGCGACGCCGCGUGCGAGAUGAAGGCCUUC